GGCAUGGUGGCUUAGAGCGCCCGCCUCAUGAACGGGAGGUCGUGGGUUCGAUCUCCGUCUGAGUCA
Molecule: transfer RNA, 66 nt
Filed under: Strongylocentrotus purpuratus (purple sea urchin)
Lineage: Eukaryota; Metazoa; Echinodermata; Echinoidea; Camarodonta; Strongylocentrotidae
Rfam family: tRNA
About the family: Transfer RNA (tRNA) molecules are approximately 80 nucleotides in length. Their secondary structure includes four short double-helical elements and three loops (D, anti-codon, and T loops).
Source: Rfam by way of RNAcentral